This 277-nucleotide ribosomal RNA is filed under the name uncultured bacterium. Its description in RNAcentral is "partial 16S ribosomal RNA". It matches the Rfam family "Bacterial small subunit ribosomal RNA", at positions 30 to 308 of the family's 1533-position model. The record is from RNAcentral.
AUUGAACGCUGGCGGCAUGCCUUACACAUGCAAGUCGAACGCGAAAGGGGGGCAACCCCCGAGUAGAGUGGCGAACGGGUGAGUAAUACAUCGGAACGUGUCCAGUAGCGGGGGAUAACCUCUCGAAAGAGAGGCUAAUACCGCAUACGUCCUACGGGAGAAAGCGGGGGACCGCAAGGCCUCGCACUAUUGGAGCGGCCGAUGUCGGAUUAGCUAGUUGGUGAGGUAACGGCUUACCAAGGCGACGAUCCGUAGCUGGUCUGAGAGGACGACCAGC